RNAcentral lists this ribosomal RNA (777 nucleotides) under uncultured Neocallimastigales. Its description in RNAcentral is "partial large subunit ribosomal RNA". It matches the Rfam family "Eukaryotic large subunit ribosomal RNA", at positions 22 to 637 of the family's 3401-position model. The record is from RNAcentral. Lineage: Eukaryota; Fungi; Neocallimastigomycota; Neocallimastigomycetes; Neocallimastigales.
GUACACGCUGUGACUAGCAUAUCAAUAAGCGGAGGAAAAGAAACUAACAAGGAUUCCCCUAGUAACGGCGAGUGAAGCGGGAAGAGCUCAAAUUUGAAAUCUUAAAGGGUUUCCCUUUACGAAUUGUAGUUUAAAGAAGUGUUUUCUGCUUGAGGUUUUGGUAAAAGUUCUUUGGAAUAGGACAUCAUAGAGGGUGAGAAUCCCGUAUUUGACCUUUACCUUUCAACUUUGUGAUACACUUUCAAAGAGUCGGAUUGUUUGGGAAUGCAGUCCAAAAUGGGUGGUAAAUUUCAUCUAAAGCUAAAUAUUGGCGAGAGACCGAUAGCGAACAAGUACCGUGAGGGAAAGAUGAAAAGAACUUUGAAAAGAGAGUUAAACAGUACGUGAAAUUGUCAAAAGGGAAGCGUUUGACACCAGUGUUGUUUUUCUGAAAAUCAAUUAAAGAACUGUUUAUGCUAAGUUGUUUAGACUUUAUCAGCUAACUGUUUAGUUUUGAGCUUUUCUUUAAUGCACUUUUCAGUUAACAAGUCAACAUCAAUUUCUUUUGCUGUAAAAAAGCUUGAGGAAGGUGGCUUGAGAUUCGUCUUAAGUGUUUAUAGCCUCUUGCCUAUGCAGUCGGAGAGAUUGAGGUCUGCAGCGUAGAUCCUUCGGGGCUAAAUGCAUUUGUGCUAAGUUAUAGCAUUUUCAUAGACAACUUGUUGACUAUGAUUUGUCUUGUAGCUUACUCGCUUAUGUUAUUUUACCUACGCUUAGGAUGUUGACAGCAGUAUAGACUGU